This 541-nucleotide long non-coding RNA is filed under the name Rattus norvegicus (Norway rat). RNAcentral's name for it is "long non-coding RNA NONRATT033010". The record is from RNAcentral. Lineage: Eukaryota; Metazoa; Chordata; Mammalia; Rodentia; Muridae.
GGACGGGUUUCUCCUGCUCCUUCGCCUAGGACUACAGUGAGUUUCUUCUAAAGCCUCUAGUUUUGGAAUAAGAAGGACACUCAAGAGUUACCUAGCUCAGUUCUCACGGCUACAUAAAAUCCGGCACGGUGGCUGUGAUGGCUUGAAUAAGAAUGGCCCCCACCGGCUCCUAUACUUGAAUGUCUGGUUCCCAGUAGGUGAGCUGUACCUCGUUGCCUUCUGCAACGUGUGGAUAAGAUGUGGGCCAUCGGUUACUGCUCCCGAGCCAUGCUGCCUGCUGUAGGGGGAAAGGACUAACCCUCUGAAACGGUAAGCAAGCUCCCAAUCAAAUGCCUUCUCUUCUAAGUUGCCUGGCUGUGGUGUCUCUUCACAGCAAAGGAACAGUAAGUGUGUGAACGUCUAUAAUCCCAGGAGGAUAAUAAACUCAAGGUCACCCUCCGCUUGAGGCCUGCCUAAGCUACAUGAGACCAUGUCUCAAAAGUAAAUAGCAUCAGUAAUGACGAAGGUAGAUGGCAUGUCUCGAUGUGAUGACAGAGCCAUG